AACGCGAAGAACCUUACCUACCCUUGACAUGGUCGGAAGCCUGGAGAGAUCCGGGCGUGCUCGAAAGAGAACCGACACACAGGUGCUGCAUGGCUGUCGUCAGCUCGUGUCGUGAGAUGUUGGGUUAAGUCCCGCAACGAGCGCAACCCUUGUCAUUAGUUGCUACAUUUGGUUGGGCACUCUAAUGAGACUGCCGGUGACAAACCGGAGGAAGGUGGGGAUGACGUCAAGUCCUCAUCGCCAUUCUCGGUAGGGCUUCCCACGUCAUACAAUGGCACAUACCGAGGGCCGCCCACCCGCCAGGGCGAGAUCAUCCCACAAACUGUACCGUCGUCCGGCUUCCAGUCUGCAACCCGACUGCAUGACGCUGGCAUGGACAGCCAUAGCGCACCAGCCUGCCGAGCCGAAUAAGUUCCACGGGUANUUUACUANACCG
RNAcentral lists this ribosomal RNA (436 nucleotides) under uncultured bacterium. RNAcentral describes it as "bacterial SSU rRNA". It matches the Rfam family "Bacterial small subunit ribosomal RNA", at positions 958 to 1386 of the family's 1533-position model. The record is from RNAcentral.